RNAcentral lists this unclassified non-coding RNA (431 nucleotides) under Hevea brasiliensis (rubber tree). The record is from RNAcentral. Lineage: Eukaryota; Viridiplantae; Streptophyta; Magnoliopsida; Malpighiales; Euphorbiaceae.
CCAUUUCAUCCAUCUUGUUUUGAUUUAUGAGUUACAAUCUCAUUUGUUAUUCCAUUCUUCUAGAUAAUAAAACCUAAAUACUUGAAUUGGUUGCAUUUUGUCACAAAAACUCCAUCCAAUCAAACCUCCCCUCCAUGUUUUCUACAAGAGCUAAACUCACAAUUCAUAUAUUCUAUAUUACUUCUACUUAGCCUAAAACCUUUACUAGCCUAAAACCUUUACUCUCAAUAGCCCUUCUCCAUAACUCCAAGUUUAGUUAACUAAUUUACUAAGAUAACAUCAUUUGUAAAUAUCAUGUACCAUGGGGCCAUCUUGAAUAUGAUUAAUUAGCUCAUUCAUAACUAAGCUAAAUAGGCAUGGACUCAAAUCCAAUUCUUGAUAUAAGCUCACUAUUAUGGGAAACUUGUUAGUAUCGUCUAUCACUAUCCUUA